AUUAAAGUUGGGGCGACGGACGGUGCAGAUACCCAAUUCUCGUGUUCGAGCUCCGAUCCCGAUCGUCUCCUCCGACGCCUCCUCUCCAGCGUCCGAUCUCCUCUCUUCCCUCCCCCCACAACCCAUCGCCGCCGCCGCCUCCUCCUCCUCUACUACCCCCGCGCGCACCUCAAUUACAAAACCUCCCUCUCUUUCCCAGGAUCACGCCCAUGGCGGAGGUGCCGGCAAGCCCCCCCGGAGGUGCCGGUGGCGGCGGCGGUAGUCACGAGAGCGGCGGCGACCAGAGCCCGCGAUCCAGCUUCCGGGAGCAGGACCGCUUUCUCCCAAUCGCCAACAUCAGCCGGAUCAUGAAAAAGGCGCUACCUGCCAACGCCAAGAUCGCCAAGGACGCCAAAGAGACCAUCCAGGAAUGCGUCUCCGAGUUCAUCAGCUUCAUCACCAGCGAGGCCAGUGAUAAAUGCCAGCGGGAGAAAAGGAAGACCAUUAAUGGCGACGAUCUGCUUUGGGCGAUGGCCACGCUGGGAUUCGAGGAUUAUAUUGAACCGCUGAAAUUGUAUCUGCAGAAAUACAGAGAGAUGGAGGGUGACAGUAAGGUGUCUGCUAAAGGUGAUAACUCUCUAAAGCAAGACAUAACUAGUUCUCAUGGUGGAGCUCAAUCUGGUUCAAUCUCUCAAGGGUAGAUUGGUCAACAAGGAUCUUUUACACAAGGCAUGGGCUAUUUGCAACCUCAGUAACUAAGAUCAGAACCGUGUAAUAUCUUGAAGUGGGACUUAUAGGAGGAAAAGCUUCGUCGCCCUAUGUGUUAUCGCUAAGCUUCCAAUUAUUUGGUGUUUUAGAUUAUAAAGUAGCCCCAGUUGUAACAAUUUACGCAGUGUGUACCAAAUUCAUCUUUGUUAUCCUUACUGGAUUUUUAGUUGGCAACAGAUAGAUUUCGAUAAGCCCAUUUUAUCCACGGUGACACUGAAUUACCAUUGGAACUAUCAUAUAAGUGGGCUGACUUGUCACCUCUUCGUUCGUAGUGCAAUUACAGCUUGAAUUCCAGUUUGAUUGUGC
This is an RNA transcript of Zingiber officinale, 1053 nucleotides long. It is a transcript of the gene named nuclear transcription factor Y subunit B-3-like, with no coding region annotated. Lineage: Eukaryota; Viridiplantae; Streptophyta; Magnoliopsida; Zingiberales; Zingiberaceae. The transcript is spliced from 7 exons. The record is from RefSeq and is a predicted model, not a curated record.